GUGACGUUGACGUGGAAAUCUCGGUGAGAGGAGGGCAUAAGACGUUGACGUAUAAAACUCCAAACGGCAACGUCCUUGACGUCACCCACGUUCUCUAAAGCGAGGAUGUCAUCGUCAACAUUCCCGGACAGAAUGAAGUGUGCAACGUCAGACAACUUCAACAGACCAUCAAUGACGUGGAAGGGAGUUUGACCUGCACAGAACGAGUAGCGAUGACCGAUGAAGAGCUGUCACCGAGGCUUGCCGAGAUUUGCCGAGGAAAGGCGGUGUUUGCCGAGAAAUACGCGCCUUGUCAGCCCCGAACAGGUCAGCCCCAAACAGGUCAGCCCCGAAUACGUCGAGAUUAUGUCUGCGAGCCAGUUUGCCGGCUGUGUUCUUCAGGUUUAUGCUGUGAAAUCCGCUGUACAGGGGAGGGCCGCCUGUGUUGAAGUUUGGGAGAGUCUGACUUGCAGUAAAACCUAAAUAAAGGUCCCUUUGCCUAGCAUAACCAUUCGGAUAUUUUUCGCCGUCUGUAGGUUCGGUGCUUACAUUGCUAAAAGCAUCUGUUACAUUUUGUUUGGUAAUAACUGCCUUUGUUAAAUCAUCAUAGUGAUAUCAAGGCUUUAACUUUCAAUUCCAUUAAUUAAACAUAAGAAAUAAAAUAUAUUCAACCGAUAACUGUAUAUUGACUGGAAUGUGUGGCAUUUAUUUUAAAUAUGCUUAUCCAUAUGACGUUGUUUUCGCUUCUAGCCCAUAUUUCGUAU
Long non-coding RNA from Mya arenaria, 743 nucleotides. RefSeq lists it as uncharacterized. NCBI's taxonomy places the organism in Eukaryota, Metazoa, Mollusca, Bivalvia, Myida, Myidae. The record is from RefSeq and is a predicted model, not a curated record. The transcript has 4 exons.